UACGUAGGGUGCAAGCGUUAUCCGGAAUUAUUGGGCGUAAAGAGCUCGUAGGCGGUUUGUCGCGUCUGCCGUGAAAGUCCGGGGCUCAACUCCGGGUCUGCGGUGGGUACGGGCAGACUAGAGUGAUGUAGGGGAGACUGGAAUUCCUGGUGUAGCGGUGAAAUGCGCAGAUAUCAGGAGGAACACCGAUGGCGAAGGCAGGUCUCUGGGCAUUAACUGACGCUGAGGAGCGAAAGCAUGGGGAGCGAACAGG
Molecule: ribosomal RNA, 253 nt
Filed under: uncultured bacterium
Lineage: Bacteria
Description: partial 16S ribosomal RNA
Rfam family: Bacterial small subunit ribosomal RNA
Source: RNAcentral